Molecule: ribosomal RNA, 253 nt
Filed under: uncultured bacterium
Lineage: Bacteria
Description: partial 16S ribosomal RNA
Rfam family: Bacterial small subunit ribosomal RNA
Source: RNAcentral
GACGGAGGGUGCAAGCGUUGCUCGGAAUCACUGGGUGUAAAGGGCGCGUAGGUGGUUGUCUAAGUCGGAUGUUAAAGCCCUGGGCUUAACCCAGGAAUCGCAUUCGAAACUGGACAGCUUGAGGGUGGGAGAGGAAAGUGGAAUUCCCGGUGUAGAGGUGAAAUUCGUAGAUAUCGGGAGGAACACCAGUGGCGAAAGCGGCUUUCUGGACCAUCCCUGACACUGAGGCGCGAAAGCGUGGGGAGCAAACAGG